UGUAGCUCAGUAGGGGAGUGUGUGCUUCGCAUGCACAAGGCCCUGGGUUCGAUCCCCAGCA
RNAcentral lists this transfer RNA (61 nucleotides) under Marmota monax (woodchuck). It matches the Rfam family "tRNA", at positions 6 to 65 of the family's 71-position model. Rfam says of the family: Transfer RNA (tRNA) molecules are approximately 80 nucleotides in length. The record is from Rfam by way of RNAcentral. Lineage: Eukaryota; Metazoa; Chordata; Mammalia; Rodentia; Sciuridae. RNAcentral also lists the same sequence under 1 other name.